Molecule: long non-coding RNA, 1392 nt
Organism: Magnolia sinica
Lineage: Eukaryota; Viridiplantae; Streptophyta; Magnoliopsida; Magnoliales; Magnoliaceae
Exons: 3
Source: RefSeq, a predicted model, not a curated record
CGAGGCCGGUAUUAUUUUUCUUCAUGGCCGGGCAAGGUCAGGCCAUAAUCACCAAUAACCCAUCCUUUAAUAAAGGAUCGAAGGACAAGUGGUUCUUUAUGAUUGGAGAAUGGGAGGCCUCCAUGGCAGAGUUAGGAGGAUUACAUGCUCGAGUUCCUACCUUCUUCGCAUUCUCAAGUCGGAGCACAUGUCGAGCUGUUAUACUUAAUUAGUUUUCUUUAUACUUAUUCUGUAUGGAUGCUUGAUCUACUCUUUUCUCUUUGUGCAACCUUUCUGUCUCUCUCAUACACCAUGUUAGGAUCACCAAAGAGCGACCAGCGACUCAAUGAGAUUGUAGGAGGCUGUUCACCCUGCAGCUCUUACAGGGGUUUGGGCUUGCUCUAACAGCGAUGUCGAAACGCCCUCCAUCUUAAAAGAGGAAGCUCCCAUCUAGGCACGAGUUGGAGAGGUUAAAGAGCGUGGGGAGGAGGACGACCCCAUCAAGCUCUCCCACCCGAGCUGCCACUCAAGCUUCCCUCCCUCAGGCAAGCAAGGCCCCAACUGACACUGCCCCUGAUGUGAUCCCGGCCGAGUUCGGGGAUGGGGUUGCUAACGCUCGACCCCCUGAAAUGGUCAAGCUUGAUGUGUCCUCACCAAGGUUUGAGAGGGCUCGAGUUGAGGAGGCCCCAAAUAUUGUUGGAGCGUUUGAGCAUUAGGAGCCGACCUCUGAGGCGGCUGUCAUGGGAGGACCGCCAUCUUCCUCCCCUUCAAUUCCAAGACACCUAGUUGUACUCUUGAGUUAGGGACAAGGCCACGUGUUUGUGAAGGAGGAGGCUCUCGGGGUCAUCUCUCUUUAUUAGUUUACCUUAGACCUGAUGACUAGGUUUAAGGAGACCGAGCGCCUGUUAAACACCGCUCGUGCCGACCUUAAGGCGAAGGCCCAAGAGCUGACGUUGAUUGUAUCCUACCUAAGAGAGCUCUUAGGUGCUCUCCAUGUAUCUGAGGGAGCGCUAAAAGCGAAUGAGCGAUAAUGCUAUGUUGUGGUGCUAGCUAAGGGGGGCAUUCUAGAAAUUGAGGUGGAGAGCGAGGAAUUUGGCAGUUGAGGUCGAGGCUAGCAUCUCGACCAAGGAGGCAGUAAUGGUAGAGGCGUACAAAGCCUCUGAGGCUCAUUAAGUGGAGCUGGAGAAGGUCUUCAAUGCCGGCUUUGCUAAUUGCCAGGAGGAAAUUCAGGGCCAUUUCCUAGAGCUCUCAGCUUGGCAUGGUUGGAUGAGGAAGCAGGCUCAAGGGAGAGUGCUAUCGCCACUGCUGACGUCACUCCCAUUCCUAGGUCGGAGAGUCCUCCCCCGGCCUAGAUAUUUUACAUGUAUUUUUCCACCUCUCUUUUUUUGCCAAUGAUUUUAUAUAUCUAUCCAA